Molecule: transfer RNA, 62 nt
Filed under: Anaedus unidentatus
Lineage: Eukaryota; Metazoa; Arthropoda; Insecta; Coleoptera; Tenebrionidae
Description: tRNA-His
Source: RNAcentral
AUUCAAUUAGUUUAUGUAAAAUAAGGAUUUGUGGAAUCUUAGAAAAAGGUUUUUAUUGGAUA